RNAcentral lists this ribosomal RNA (371 nucleotides) under uncultured organism. Its description in RNAcentral is "partial 16S ribosomal RNA". It matches the Rfam family "Bacterial small subunit ribosomal RNA", at positions 527 to 896 of the family's 1533-position model. The record is from RNAcentral.
GUAGGUGGCAAGCGUUGUCCGGAAUUAUUGGGCGUAAAGCGCGCGCAGGCGGUUCUUUAAGUCUGAUGUGAAAGCCCACGGCUCAACCGUGGAGGGUCAUUGGAAACUGGAGAACUUGAGUACAGAAGAGGAAAGCGGAAUUCCACGUGUAGCGGUGAAAUGCGUAGAGAUGUGGAGGAACACCAGUGGCGAAGGCGGCUUUCUGGUCUGUAACUGACGCUGAGGCGCGAAAGCGUGGGGAGCAAACAGGGAUUAGAUACCCUGGUAGUCCACGCCGUAAACGAUGAGUGCUAAGUGUUAGGGGGUUUCCCGCCCCUUAGUGCUGCAGCUAACGCAUUAAGCACUCGCCUGGGGAGUACGCCGCAAGGCUG